RNAcentral lists this long non-coding RNA (426 nucleotides) under Capra hircus (goat). RNAcentral describes it as "lncRNA (ENSCHIG00010021307.1)". Lineage: Eukaryota; Metazoa; Chordata; Mammalia; Artiodactyla; Bovidae. The record is from RNAcentral.
GGAUGUCUGCUGUGUGCCAGGCUGCCUGGCCUUGGGGGGCUACUUAAGAUUUUCUUCAUUUUAAAAAAUUGGGGGGUUUUUUGGCUCAGCAGUAAAUAGAAAUGAGGAUUUCUUGUGAACAUUUAGUACGGAGAUGUAUGCAGAUCGGUGUUUGGGGUCCACAGUAAGGUAUUAUGUCAAACACUUAAAAUUGUCCUGGAAGAUUUCUAUUAUAGAUCAGUGCAGAAUGGAUCAAAACGGAAAGAAGCCUCUCUGGCCAGAAGAAGUCUUCAUUGGAAGAAAUAACAUCCCUAAAGAAGGAACGUGUAAAUCAGGAAUUGAGCCAAGAAAAAGCCUGGGAGGAUUCUUCCAAGAAGAAACAGAUGGAUCAAUCAAUCUAUCUCUCUAGGCUUCCCUGGUGGCUCAGCUGGUAAAGAAUCUACCUGC